Molecule: ribosomal RNA, 260 nt
Filed under: uncultured bacterium
Lineage: Bacteria
Description: partial 16S ribosomal RNA
Rfam family: Bacterial small subunit ribosomal RNA
Source: RNAcentral
CAGCGCCUACGGGAGGCAGCAGUAGGGAAUUUUCGUCAAUGGGCGCAAGCCUGAUGGAGCAACGCCGCGUGGGUGAAGAAGGUCUUCGGAUCGUAAAACCCUGUUGUUAGAGAAGAAAGUGCGUGAGAGUAACUGUUCACGUUUCGACGGUAUCUAACCAGAAAGCCACGGCUAACUACGUGCCAGCAGCCGCGGUAAUACGUAGGUGGCAAGCGUUAUCCGGAUUUAUUGGGCGUAAAGGGAACGCAGGCGGUCUUUUA